Molecule: unclassified non-coding RNA, 211 nt
Filed under: Scottocalanus securifrons
Lineage: Eukaryota; Metazoa; Arthropoda; Copepoda; Calanoida; Scolecitrichidae
Description: partial ITS2
Source: RNAcentral
UGACAUCCAUCGGACAGUGUUCCCAACACUGUCCGCGUCGGGCACCCGCUUCCGGCUGUUUGCCGGUAGCGGUGCCUCAGAGUAUGCUGUGCGGAGUUUGCAACGACUCAACUCUUGGACCUUAAACAGUCUGGGUUGGCCUGUCUGCAGGCUGCACACGCCUGGUGCCGGUGCCUGCCACCCUGCCCGGAGCACCGCCUCAACCACACUU